AUGAUGGUGCCAGCAGUGAGGUGGAAGUUGGAGUUUUGCCAGGAUCUAGGUAAGGUUGAUGGUUCCCAGAAGUAUAGCAGUGACCAGGCCAUGUGGUAUGUGUCCUUUUCGUCUUUCAGGUGCGCCAAGUGGCAUCCAGGAAACACCUGUCAGAUGCGUUUCUUCUCUGCUGCUAGUCACACGAUCAAGGCCAGUCUGAGAAUGGCCAUUCAGGGGCCCUGGAUAGUAACCAGGUUCCUGUCAAGAGAUUAUAACAAACCUAACAAUGAUCAUUAUCAGGGACUGUUUCUGGUAUCCAGGUAAGUGAUGAUGUGCAUUUUAAUAACAUCACAGACCGUCUGGUCUCUACAUAUCUAAGUAAGUGAUGUUUGUUUGCCUAAACUUGUUUACUAUGUGAUUUAAAAAAAAAAAAAAUCUAGUAACCAUGUUACCCUAUUGUUCUGUGUUUUAAAGAAAAUUUAUUUUUUUACACUGUGAGUGACUUACGAGUUGCAGACAUCCAGGUUAUUUUCAAUAUGUUCUGCAUCACCAUAUUAUCCAUAGUAUUUUUACAGGUGUACCAUCAGAAAACAAUGGUGUCUUUAGCCGUGGUGUAGACCUUGUAUUGUUUCAGGUUUCCUGGUAGAGAUGUUUCCUGCAUUGAUGAAAGUGAAUAAGGUUAUUUGCAAUUGUCCAGGUUGAAAAGGUGUGUCUAUAUUCACAUUUGUCAUAAUGUGUUUUCAGGUUCCAGCAAAAAGAUCAUGUUGAACUUCAUAAUGAUGAUUAAUGGGGGUUUUGCAUGUAGACAAGUGAUUAUGUGGGCCGUAAGCAUCCUACAGAUCAUGUGAUCUUCAGAUAUCUAGUUAAGAAUACAUGAGGUCCCUAACAUUUGUGUUAUCAGAGGUUUUAUGCGGGUAGUCAAGUAAGAAAUGAUAGUGUCCUAAUAAAUACUUGGAAGCAAUAACCCUUUCUGUUUGAGUUUAGGUAUAUGUUUAACUUUAGUAGCAUCUAAAAUAUAUUUAGGUAUCCAAGUAAGUUAUAAUUUUGCCCAAUACCUAUAUAUUGACUGUACUUUUUUUUUCUUUUUUGCAGUUAUCUUGUCAAGACAACAAUGUGCCUCUAACUAGGUUGUUGACUUUGAACAUCUGAAUGUUUCCAGGUAGAUUUGAAGGGCCCUGUAAUUUUCAAGUAACCAUGGAAUUUUGCAGGUGUUCAUAUAAUACAUGCAUUCCUAACACAAUUUUACCGUGAUUUUUUUAAAGAUCCAAUUAAGAGAUUAUGGCACCUUCUCUACUAUGCUUAAGGCCCAUAUCAUCUCCUAACUGAUCCCAGCAAAAUCCCAAAUUGAAUACUAUUGUUAGUUGAACCAUCAUCAUCUCUUGAUUGCUGUUUUUGCAGAUGUCCACUCAACAGUUGAUGGUGUCUUGGGCCAGGAGCGGUGGCUCCUGCCUAUAAUCCCAGCACUUUGGGAGGCUGAGGUGGGUGGAUCAUGAGGUCAGGAGUUCGAGACCAGCCUGACCAACAUGGUGAAACCCUGUCUCUACUAAAAAUACAAAAAUUAUCCAGGCAUGGUGGCGCGUGCCUGUAAUCCCAGCUCUCAGGAAGCUGAGGCAGGAGAAUCGCUUGAAUCUGAGAGCUGGAGGUUGCAAUGAGCUGUGAUCGCGCCACUGCACUCCAGACUGGGUGACAGAGCAAGACUCUGUCUCAAAAAAAAAAAAAAAAACAAAAAAAGAGUUGAUGGUGUCUCUAACAACAAAACUAUAAGGUUGAUUCUAGAUUCUUGCUGGUAUGUAGGUAGAUUUUAUGGUUCUUUUUAAGGUUAUAGUGCCCAUAGAAUUUUCAGGUGUCAAAGUUAAAGAUUUCUCCACUGUUACCUCUUUGGGUUUUUGUAGAUUCCAAUUAAAAGAUUAUUGAAAACCUCCCUAUGGUACUGAAGGCAAGAUUUUUCUUGCAUCCAAGUACAAGAUGAUGUUGGUACCAAAGCUGAUAUCCAGGUAAGCAAUACUGGUGUUCUUAAGCCAACAUAGUGACCAAGUUUGUUUGCAAGCAUUCUUGUAAGUUAUGUUGACUAACCACCAUAGUGACCAGGGGAAUUUUGCAGAUAUCCUAUUAAGCUAUGAAGAUGUCUGUAACUAAGGUGUUUUCCUUAGAACUGGUGUUCUUAAGCCAACAUAGUGACCAAGUUUGUUUGCAAGCAUUCUUGUAAGUUAUGUUGACUAAGUUAUGUUGACUAACUGCCAUAGUGACCAGGGGAGUUUUGCAGAUACCCUAUUAAGCUAUGAAAGUGUCUGUAACUAAGGUGUUUUCCUUGGAAAUGUGCAGGCAUCCAGAUAAGAGUUGUUGGUGACCCUAAUCAAGCUCAUGACCAUGGGAUUUUGCAGUUAGGCAAGGAAUGAUGUGCCCCUACUGUGAUAUUUAUCUUGGCCUUUUUAGGUAUUCACGUUAGAGAUGGUGUUUAUCUAAUACAUGCAAAAAAAGUAUCUAGUUAGAAGAUGAUAGUGUCUGUAUGUAUAGUGCUAACCUCUGAAUUUUUCAUGUAUCCAGGUCAAAGUUGUUCUGUCCCUUACCAUGUUAGUGGUCUUAGGAUAUUUUAGUUGUCCAGAUAAAGGGUGAUGUGUCCUUAACCACAUUAGUUACCAAGCAAUAUUGCAUGUGUCCAGUUAAGAGAUGAUAGUGGCCCCAACCAUGGUAUUGACCAUGAAUUUUUGCAAUUUUCCAGGAUACAGCUGGUGUUUCACUACCUUCAGUAUUAACCAUGUGGUUUUACAGGCAUCCUAGCAAGAAAUUAUGUAUCCACAAUUCUGUUUUUUAUCCUCAGAUUUAUUUAGGUAUUAUGGAAAGAGAUAACGGUGUUCCUAACAUUUACUGACUAUAGGCUUUGAAGAUACCCAGCCAAGAGGUGACGGAGUCUCUAUCAAUGUUGGCGUCCAUGGGAAUGAAAGAAAACUGGAAUUUUUCUUGUCAACUAUGUAUUUUAUUAAAGUAAUUCUAGCAUUCAGUGUUAAAUAUUAUAUAUUUUUGAGUCCUUUUUUUUUUCUUUUUUUGGACACAGGGUCUCGCUCUGUCACCCAGGCUGGAAUGCAGUGGCUCAGUCAUGUCUCACUGCAGCUUCAACCUCCUAGGCUCAAGAAGUCAUCUCAUUUCAGCUUCCCGAGUAACUGGGACCACAGGUAUAUGCCACUAUGCUCAACUAAUUUUGUAUUUUUUGUAGAGAAGAUUUCAUCAUGUUGCCCAGGCCGAUCUUGAACUCCUAGGCUCAAGUGAUUCACCGUCCUCAGCCCCUCAGAGUGCUGGGAUUACAGGUAUGAGCCACUGUGCCUGGUCCACAGUCAUGUUUUAUUGUAUCCAUUUCUUUCUGUUCAAUUUCUACACAAUGACAUUUUCACCUGGAGUCUUAAGCUGUUUAUUAAAUAGUUUAACAUUUAAGAGUUAGCAAUAUAGACAUCCGUUAUAUAAAAUGUGGUUGUUCAUAAGGAAAACUAGGCUAUAGGUACGGUCAUUAGAGUGUUAAAAGAGCCAAGGGAGUGAAAUACUGGAAAACACACUAUGGAUAUAAACAUUUGUACUCUCACUUUCCUGAUAUAAAUAGAUAUUAGAUGAUACAUUAGAAAAAAUAUGUGAAACACAAUGAAGAUUAAUGGGGGACUCGAAUAGUUCUUAUUCAAUUA
This 3647-nucleotide long non-coding RNA is filed under the name Callithrix jacchus (white-tufted-ear marmoset). RNAcentral describes it as "lncRNA (ENSCJAG00000081762.1)". The record is from RNAcentral. Lineage: Eukaryota; Metazoa; Chordata; Mammalia; Primates; Cebidae.